Molecule: ribosomal RNA, 820 nt
Filed under: uncultured Acidaminococcus sp.
Lineage: Bacteria; Bacillati; Bacillota; Negativicutes; Acidaminococcales; Acidaminococcaceae
Description: bacterial SSU rRNA
Rfam family: Bacterial small subunit ribosomal RNA
Source: RNAcentral
CGUGGCGGCUGCUUACCAUGGAAGUCGAACGGAGAAUUUAUUUCGGUAAAUUCUUAGUGGCGAACGGGUGAGUAACGCGUAGGCAACCUGCCCUUUGGAUGGGGACAACAUUCCGAAAGGAGUGCUAAUACCGAAUGUGAUCCAUUUCUCGCAUGAGAGAUGGAUGAAAGAUGGCCUCUAUUUAUAAGCUAUCGCCAAAGGAUGGGCCUGCGUCUGAUUAGUUAGUUGGUGGGGUAACGGCUCACCAAGACGAUGAUCAGUAGCCGGUCUGAGAGGAUGAACGGCCACAUUGGGACUGAGACACGGCCCAAACUCCUACGGGAGGCAGCAGUGGGGAAUCUUCCGCAAUGGACGAAAGUCUGACGGAGCAACGCCGCGUGAGUGAUGAAGGUUUUCGGACUGUAAAACUCUGUUGUCAGGGACGAAGGUGCGAUCUGCGAAUAGUUGAUCGUAUUGACGGUACCUGACGAGGAAGCCACGGCUAACUACGUGCCAGCAGCCGCGGUAAUACGUAGGUGGCAAGCGUUGUCCGGAAUUAUUGGGCGUAAAGAGCAUGUAGGUGGGCUUUUAAGUCCGAUGUGAAAAUGCGGGGCUCAACCCCGUAUGGCAUUGGAUACUGGAAGUCUUGAGUGCAGGAGAGGAAAGGGGAAUUCCCAGUGUAGCGGUGAAAUGCGUAGAUAUUGGGAGGAACACCAGUGGCGAAGGCGCCUUUCUGGACUGUGUCUGACACUGAGAUGCGAAAGCUAGGGUAGCAAACGGGAUUAGAUACCCCGGUAGUCCUAGCCGUAAACGAUGGGUACUAGGUGUAGGGGGUAUCGAC